This 497-nucleotide ribosomal RNA is filed under the name uncultured bacterium. Its description in RNAcentral is "partial 16S ribosomal RNA". It matches the Rfam family "Bacterial small subunit ribosomal RNA", at positions 28 to 507 of the family's 1533-position model. The record is from RNAcentral.
GACGAACGCUGGCGGCGUGCCUAAUACAUGCAAGUUGAGCGCUGAAGGUUGGUACUUGUACCAACUGGAUGAGCAGCGAACGGGUGAGUAACGCGUGGGGAAUCUGCCUUUGAGCGGGGGACAACAUUUGGAAACGAAUGCUAAUACCGCAUAAAAACUUUAAACACAAGUUUUAAGUUUGAAAGAUGCAAUUGCAUCACUCAAAGAUGAUCCCGCGUUGUAUUAGCUAGUUGGUGAGGUAAAGGCUCACCAAGGCGAUGAUACAUAGCCGACCUGAGAGGGUGAUCGGCCACAUUGUGACUGAGACACGGCCCAAACUCCUACGGGAGGCAGCAGUAGGGAAUCUUCGGCAAUGGACGAAAGUCUGACCGAGCAACGCCGCGUGAGUGAAGAAGGUUUUCGGAUCGUAAAACUCUGUUGGUAGAGAAGAACGUUGGUGAGAGUGGAAAGCUCAUCAAGUGACGGUAACUACCCAGAAAGGGACGGCUAACUACGUG